This 66-nucleotide transfer RNA is filed under the name human gut metagenome. It matches the Rfam family "tRNA", at positions 5 to 66 of the family's 71-position model. From Rfam's summary of the family: Transfer RNA (tRNA) molecules are approximately 80 nucleotides in length. Their secondary structure includes four short double-helical elements and three loops (D, anti-codon, and T loops). RNAcentral also lists the same sequence under 3 other names. The record is from RNAcentral.
CCGGUGGCUCAGUUGGUUAGAGCGCCGCCCUGUCACGGCGGAGGUCAAGGGUUCGAACCCCUUUCG